UAGGGAAUCUUCCACAAUGGACGCAAGUCUGAUGGAGCAACGCCGCGUGAGUGAAGAAGGUUUUCGGAUCGUAAAGCUCUGUUGUUGGUGAAGAAGGAUAGAGGCAGUAACUGGUCUUUAUUUGACGGUAAUCAACCAGAAAGUCACGGCUAACUACGUGCCAGCAGCCGCGGUAAUACGUAGGUGGCAAGCGUUGUCCGGAUUUAUUGGGCGUAAAGCGAGCGCAGGCGGAAUGAUAAGUCUGAUGUGAAAGCCCACGGCUCAACCGUGGAACUGCAUCGGAAACUGUCAUUCUUGAGUGCAGAAGAGGAGAGUGGAAUUCCAUGUGUAGCGGUGGAAUGCGUAGAUAUAUGGAAGAACACCAGUGGCGAAGGCGGCUCUCUGGACUGCAACUGACGCUGAGGCUCGAUAGCAUGGGUAGCGAACAGG
RNAcentral lists this ribosomal RNA (429 nucleotides) under bacterium. RNAcentral describes it as "partial 16S ribosomal RNA". It matches the Rfam family "Bacterial small subunit ribosomal RNA", at positions 355 to 776 of the family's 1533-position model. The record is from RNAcentral.